Molecule: unclassified non-coding RNA, 344 nt
Filed under: soil metagenome
Description: partial contains 5.8S ribosomal RNA, internal transcribed spacer 2, and large subunit ribosomal RNA
Rfam family: 5.8S ribosomal RNA (bases 1-120)
Source: RNAcentral
GAUGAAGAACGCAGCGAAAUGCGAUACGUAAUGUGAAUUGCAGAAUUCAGUGAAUCAUCGAGUCUUUGAACGCACAUUGCGCCCUCUGGUAUUCCGGAGGGCAUGCCUGUCCGAGCGUCAUUGCUGCCCUCAAGCACGGCUUGUGUGUUGGGCUCCGUCCCCCGAUCCCGGGGGACGGGCCCGAAAGGCAGCGGCGGCACCGCGUCCGGUCCUCGAGCGUAUGGGGCUUUGUCACCCGCUCUGUAGGCCCGGCCGGCGCUUGCCGAUCAACCAAAUUUUUAUCCAGGUUGACCUCGGAUCAGGUAGGGAUACCCGCUGAACUUAAGCAUAUCAAUAAGCGAGGA